GGAUGAACGCUGGCGGCGUGCUUAAUACAUGCAAGUCGAACGGAGAGUUUUGUAGCAAUACGGAGCUUCUCAGUGGCGAACGGGCGAGUAACGAGUUGGUGACCUGCCCCGAAGUGUGGGAUAACAGUCCGAAAGGAUUGCUAAUACCGCAUGUGAUCAUUGGUCUUAGAAUCUGAUGAUUAAAGCAGUAAUGCGCUUCGGGAGGGACCUGCUUCCCAUCAGCUAGUUGGUGAGGUAACGGCCCACCAAGGCUACGACGGGUAAGGGACCUGAGAGGGCGGUCCCUCGCAAUGGCACUGAAACACGGGCCAUACACCUACGGGUGGCAGCAGUAGGGAAUAUUGGGCAAUGGGCGAAAGCCUGACCCAGCAACGCCGCGUGCACGAUGAAGGCCUUCGGGUCGUAAAGUGCUUUUCUGAGGAAUGAGUAAGGACAGUACCUCAGGAAUAAGCCUCGGCUAACUACGUGCCAGCAGCCGCGGUAAAACGUAGGAGGCGAGCGUUAUCCGGAUUUACUGGGCGUAAAGCGUGUGUAGGCGGUUCGGCAAGUUGGAUGUGAAAGCUCCUGGCUUAACUAGGAGAGGUCGUUCAAUACUACCAAACUUGAGGGCAUCAGAGGAAGGUGGAAUUCCCGGUGUAGUGGUGAAAUGCGUAGAUAUCGGGAGGAACACCAGUGGCGAAAGCGGCCUUCUGGGAUGCUCCUGACGCUCAGACACGAAAGCUAGGGUAGCGAACGGGAUUAGAGACCCCGGUAGUCCUAGCAGUAAACGAUGUAGACUUGGUGUCGGAGGUGUCAAAACCUUCGGUAUCGUAGCUAACGCGAUAAGUCUACCGCCUGGGGACUACGGCCGCAAGGUAAAACUCAAAG
RNAcentral lists this ribosomal RNA (867 nucleotides) under uncultured bacterium. RNAcentral's name for it is "bacterial SSU rRNA". It matches the Rfam family "Bacterial small subunit ribosomal RNA", at positions 27 to 906 of the family's 1533-position model. The record is from RNAcentral.